UUACGCCUUCCACAGGUUAACUAAAAUAUGGAUCAAUAAACCAUAUUAUAAUUAUUACAGCAUUUCAAUUAUUAUUUCUUAAAGAAAGAUUGCAACUUUUAUCAAUCCACUAUAGAGGCUUAAAUUUUGAAGUUGCACGGCUAGCUAUUUUAGCCUUUAGCUACAUAGAUGGACAAAAGUACUUGUAAAUAUAUAAUGUAUAGCUAAGAUAUACAUUAACCAUCCACACAUUUGCAUUCCCCAUCGACACAUUUGAUAGUUCCCAAAGCACAUUUAACCCCUUUGCAGUCGGUCAAAACGGAACAUUGAUCGUUUUGAAUUUGCAGGCCAGACUGAGAGAACUCAGGGAGAAAGCACAAGCAUUUCCCGUUAUGACACGUAGCCCUUCCCUUUGGACAGUCUUCUGCAGUAUCUCUACAGUCGGUGAGACUCCGGCAGUCGGCGGCGACGUUGUGAAUAGCAUUUGCGACUUCGCAUGUGCAGACGUGAUUAACACAAAGAACAAAGUCUGAGGUGCAUGGAUACGUCUUGCAGUCGGCGUUCGAAUUGCAUCGUUGAACAGCCUUAGCUGCUUCUGCUCCUGCAGCCACGCCUGCAGAUUUUAAAUAAUUAAAUCCACUGGAGACGGCCUUCAUAUGUAUUUAAAUUUACAAACAAUCGACUUCGACGAUAAUCAUAUAUUAUGGGAAGAGAGUUUGACUAAUUGGGAGAAAAGAACUCACAAAUGACCAAGAAGACGACCCGACUAAUCAUACUCGUCUUAAACGCAGCCUUCUCCAUGUUUUUCUUGUUGCGUCACGCUGUGGGGAUGUUUUUCUUUCAGUAAAGUGAGUCCGUAAUCUAUAUUUAUAAGGGCUCUCAUGCACAUUUCUGAUAGUUUCAUACAUUAUGUCAAAAAGCCAAAGAAAUCUGAAUAUAUCUAGUAAAUCAUGUAAUUGAUUCCAUAGGAUUUUAUAGUGUGUUUCCUGAUGUGGAAAUAAAAUAUCAUAUUUAGGAAACAAAAUCACAAUUUAAGAUUGAUAUCUGAUAUUUAAUUUCCUUGUUUGGUAUGGAAAAUAUGGAAAAGAAUAAAUGAAAUUUGGGAGUAUGUAAAUACAGUGUGAACCACUUAUUUUGUACACUUCAUAAUAUUUUCAAAAUGUAAUACAACAAUGUCAAUAAUUGUCAGUAAGACCUUCAACAUGACCCUUCUACAUAUCUUUUCUAACCACAUGUACAUGGACUAGCUACUUGAGACAAGGGUGUUUUUUUUUCCAAUCUCUACAUUUUGAAAAUUGACACACUCCACUAUUAACGUAGUAUAAUUUGUAACUAAGUCAAAUUUUAUUUUUGUAACAACACGUCUUUCAAGUAAUCACGUCUUCAUAGUAAUAAUACUAAUAGUCGCAACAUUAUUACUACAUAGAGGUUUUGCUCUAUAUAUGCCUAAAUUUUAGGCUCUAAUUUUAUAAAUGUCAGUUUUUACAAAAAAAAAUUCAAACAUAAUCAAAACCACACACGUAAAUAGAGUCAAAUACUCUCAAAAUUAAAAACAACAUAAACCUAAAAUCCAAACUGUACGAGUCAUACAAGUAGAUUUUUGGGAUGCGAGUCAUGUGAUGGUUCUUUGGGUCAAGUAGCUGUGAAAUCUCGUUGUGUUUGCCUGAAUGGAUUCUUGGACACAAUAUGUUUGUGUUUAGGUAGAAUUUAAAGUCGAAAUCUAUUACUCCAACACUUUCACAUUCUUUUCCAUGUUAGAUCUAACAUUUAGUUGUUGACAAUAUCAACCACGAAAAAAAUCAGGAUUUCAUUCCCAAAUCUGCAAAAUAUCAGGUUAAUUUCCUUAUCGUCAACUCUAAAGUUGGAAAUUAAUUAUGUCACUUGAUACUUCUAGAUUUCUUCAGCACUUUUAUUACCAGACAUGUCAACACUACCAUAGUAUAAAUAUGGUUCAAAGCUAGGGUUCAGCACUUCAUUACUACAUAUAUAAUCAAA
Molecule: long non-coding RNA, 1974 nt
Filed under: Malus domestica (apple)
Lineage: Eukaryota; Viridiplantae; Streptophyta; Magnoliopsida; Rosales; Rosaceae
Description: long non-coding RNA (MDOM_LNC016055)
Source: RNAcentral